ACGUAGGAGGCAAGCGUUAUCCGGAUUCACUGGGCGUAAAGCGCGUGCAGGCGGUUUGGUAAGUUGGGCGUGAAAUCUCCCGGCUCAACUGGGAGGGGUCGUUCAAAACUACCAGACUCGAGAGUGAUAGAGGAGAAUGGAAUUCCCGGUGUAGUGGUGAAAUGCGUAGAUAUCGGGAGGAACACCAGUGGCGAAAGCGAUUCUCUGGAUCAUUUCUGACGCUCAGACGCGAAAGCUAGGGUAGCAAACGGGAUUAGAGACCCCGGUAGUCCUAGCUGUAAACGAUGUGAACUUGGCGUUGGUGGCUUAAACUCCAUCAGUGCCGAAGCUAACGCGAUAAGUUCACCGCCUGGGGACUACGGCCGCAAGGUUA
RNAcentral lists this ribosomal RNA (373 nucleotides) under uncultured bacterium. RNAcentral's name for it is "bacterial SSU rRNA". It matches the Rfam family "Bacterial small subunit ribosomal RNA", at positions 525 to 896 of the family's 1533-position model. The record is from RNAcentral.